RNAcentral lists this ribosomal RNA (381 nucleotides) under uncultured eukaryote. RNAcentral's name for it is "partial 18S ribosomal RNA". It matches the Rfam family "Eukaryotic small subunit ribosomal RNA", at positions 592 to 976 of the family's 1831-position model. The record is from RNAcentral.
CAAUAGCGUAUAUUAAAGUUGUUGCGGUAAAAAAGCUCGUAGUUGGGUUUCUACCGAAGAUAGCCGGUCGGGUCUUCGACCUUGUAUCUGGUUUUGUCUUUGGUAUCCUCAUAGGGAACGUUUCUGCGCUUUAUUGCGUGGUGCGGUAUCUAUGACUUUUACUUUGAGGAAAUUAGAGUGUUCACGGCAGGCAAACGCCUUGAAUAUAUUAGCAUGGAAUAAUAACAUAGGAUCUUCGUCCUAUUUUGUUGGUUUCUAGGGCUAAGAUAAUGAUUAAUAGGGAUAAUUGGGGGCAUCUGUAUCAACGCGUCAGAGGUGGAAUUCUUGGAUUGCGUUGCGACAAACUACUGCGAAAGCAUUUGCCAAGGAUGUUUUCAUUGA